CUCCUACGGGAGGCAGCAGUCGGGAAUUUUGGGCAAUGGGCGAAAGCCUGACCCAGCAACGCCGCGUGAAGGAUGAAGUAUUUCGGUAUGUAAACUUCGAAAGAAUAGGAAGAAUAAAUGACGGUACUAUUUAUAAGGUCCGGCUAACUACGUGCCAGCAGCCGCGGUAAUACGGGGGGGGCAAGCGUUGUUCGGAAUUACUGGGCGUAAAGGGCUCGUAGGCGGCCAACUAAGUCGGAUGUGAAAUCCCCAGGCUCAACCUGGGAACUGCAUCCGAUACUGGAUGGCUUGAAUUCGGGAGAGGGAUGCAGAAUUCCAGGUGUAGCGGUGAAAUGCGUAGAUAUCUGGAGGAAUACCGGUGGCGAAGGCGGCAUCCUGGACCGACAUUGACGCUGAGGAGCGAAAGCUAGGGGAGCAAACGGGAUUAGAUACCCCGGUAGUCCUAGCCCUAAACGAUGAAUGCUUGGUGUAGCGGGUAUCGAUCCCUGCUGUGCCGAAGCUAACGCAUUAAGCAUUCCGCCUGGGGAGUACGGUCGCAAGGCUGAAACUUAAAGGAAUUGACGG
This 564-nucleotide ribosomal RNA is filed under the name uncultured bacterium. RNAcentral describes it as "bacterial SSU rRNA". It matches the Rfam family "Bacterial small subunit ribosomal RNA", at positions 336 to 916 of the family's 1533-position model. The record is from RNAcentral.